AUGAACGCUGGCGGCGUGCCUAAUACAUGCAAGUCGAGCGAACAGAUGAGGAGCUUGCUCCUCUGACGUUAGCGGCGGACGGGUGAGUAACACGUGGAUAACCUACCUAUAAGACUGGGAUAACUUCGGGAAACCGGAGCUAAUACCGGAUAAUAUAUUGAACCGCAUGGUUCAAUAGUGAAAGACGGUUUUGCUGUCACUUAUAGAUGGAUCCGCGCCGCAUUAGCUAGUUGGUAAGGUAACGGCUUACCAAGGCAACGAUGCGUAGCCCACCUGAGAGGGUGGUCGGCCACACUGGAACUGAGACACGGUCCAGACUCCUACGGGAGGCAGCAGUAGGGAAUCUUCCGCAAUGGGCGAAAGCCUGACGGAGCAACGCCGCGUGAGUGAUGAAGGUCUUCGGAUCGUAAAACUCUGUUAUUAGGGAAGAACAAAUGUGUAAGUAACUAUGCACGUCUUGACGGUACCUAAUCAGAAAGCCACGGCUAACUACGUG
RNAcentral lists this ribosomal RNA (496 nucleotides) under uncultured bacterium. RNAcentral's name for it is "partial 16S ribosomal RNA". It matches the Rfam family "Bacterial small subunit ribosomal RNA", at positions 29 to 507 of the family's 1533-position model. The record is from RNAcentral.